CGGCACCUCAAGUGGUCAGGAUGAUUAUUGGGCCUAAAGCAUCCGUAGCCGGCGCUGUAAGUUUUCGGUUAAAUCUGUACGCUCAACGUACAGGCUGCCGGGAAUACUGCAGCGCUAGGGAGUGGGAGAGGUAGACGGUACUCGGUAGGAAGGGGUAAAAUCCUUUGAUCUAUUGAUGACCACCUGUGGCGAAGGCGGUCUACCAGAACACGUCCGACGGUGAGGGAUGAAAGCUGGGGGAGCAAACCGGAUUAGAUACCCGUGUAGUCC
Molecule: ribosomal RNA, 270 nt
Filed under: uncultured archaeon
Lineage: Archaea
Description: partial 16S ribosomal RNA
Rfam family: Archaeal small subunit ribosomal RNA
Source: RNAcentral